Molecule: ribosomal RNA, 253 nt
Filed under: uncultured bacterium
Lineage: Bacteria
Description: partial 16S ribosomal RNA
Rfam family: Bacterial small subunit ribosomal RNA
Source: RNAcentral
UACGUAGGGUGCGAGCGUUGUCCGGAAUCAUUGGGCGUAAAGAGCGUGUAGGCGGCUCGAUAAGUCUGCUGUGAAAGUCCAGGGCUCAACCCUGGAAGGCCGGUGGAAACUGUCGGGCUAGAGUCCGGAAGAGGCGAGUGGAAUUCCCGGUGUAGCGGUGAAAUGCGCAGAUAUCGGGAGGAACACCAAUGGCGAAGGCAGCUCGCUGGGACGGUACUGACGCUGAGACGCGAAAGCGUGGGGAGCAAACAGG